UCGGCUUCGAAAUCAGCGGGCAGCGGGGCGGGAGCGGUGGCGGCGCGGUGGCGCGGGAAGCCGUCUAGUACACCGCGCGCCGCUGAUCUCUAAUCUAUACAUUAGAAUGCGCCGCUCACGCGCCGCCGCCGCCACCGCCACGCUUCCCGCUGAUUUCGAGGCUGAGACCUUAGUGACACAUUUGAAAACACUUUAUUUUUUACCUGAACGUCUACAAGUAAGCAAAAUGGUAUAAUAUAUCUAAAAUAUCUCUAACUUUUUCGGCGUGCAUUCACAUCUUUUGUAGAAAAAUAUCAUAAGAAUUUAAUAAUAUCAUAAAAAUACACACUAUAUAUAUUAUAAAUUACGACUGAAGAAACGUUUUCUAUGUAUAGUUAUGAACUUAAGUUUUUUCCUAUUAUGUGGCUAAAGAAAGCUUUGAUGAAAUUGUAAAAUAUUACUACAUAUUUUAUCGUUUUCGAUGCUUUUUGUAAACAUAAUAACGUUUUGUUUGUGAUUAAUAAACGCUACAUGUACAUUAUGAAAUUGUUUUAGGAUUUUUUAUAUAAAAAUAUGGUCAGUUCACACCAAAACAAUAUGCGAUGCGACGCGUAAUAAUAUUAUGCAUAAAAUGCAGCGUAGUGCAACGGCUAACGCUAAUUCGUUCCAAUUUCUGCCGCG
Molecule: long non-coding RNA, 660 nt
Organism: Aricia agestis (brown argus)
Lineage: Eukaryota; Metazoa; Arthropoda; Insecta; Lepidoptera; Lycaenidae
Exons: 3
Source: RefSeq, a predicted model, not a curated record